UGUUUGCUUUGUUUGUUUGUGUGUGUGUGUCUGUGUGUGCUUUUUGGUAUUGUUUUUGUUCUUUUUUUCUGCCCACUAAAUACGGCAAUCUCUUCCACAUAAUGCAAUGUCACACUGUCUCCCAUGGGGUGGUUUGGGAAGUGUGGAUCAGAUGGACCGACAGUGAGGUAGGCUGAUACCUGGAUGAACAAAAAUGCUCAGAGGGUUGUGAUCAAUAGUGCAGGGUGCUAGUGGUGCUCUCCAGAGUCAAUAUUGAUUCUGGUCUUGUUCUGCAUCUUCAUCGAUGGCUUGGAUGAAGGGACAGAGUGCAAUCUGAGCAAAUCUGCUGAUGAUACCAAACUGGGAGGAGUGGCUGAUGCUCCAUCAGGCUGUGCUGACAUUCAGCCAAACCUGGACAGGCUGGAGAGAUGGGCAGAAGGGAACCUCAUAAAAUCCAACAAGGGCAAGUGUAGGGUCCUGCACCUGGGGAGGAAUAACCCCCUGCACCAGUUCAGGUGAGAGGGUGACCUGCUGGAAAGCAGCUCCAUCAAGAAGGAUCUGGGAGUGCUGGUGGACAAAAAGUUUGCCAUUUUUGGACCAUUGACUGAGCUGCUUCAGAAGAUAAAACCUUAAGUAAGCUUGUGAACAGAAGAGAGUCUGUAGCGUCUCCUUCUCUGGAGACUUUCAAAACCCAACUGGGCAUUGUGAUUCUGUACAGUUUGUUGUGGAAGACCCUGCUUUUGCAGAGGGGUUGGACUAGGUGAUCUUCACGGGUUCCUUCCAAGCUUCUCCAUCCUGCAAUUCUGUGAUUGCCCAUGCCCACCUGAGGGACACAUGCUCAUGUUUGCUGGAGAAGCUCCUCUCAGCUUCCUCCAAGUAUAUCUGUUUGUGGUCUUGCCAUGUGCUGGCUGGGGCUGUGCAGGUGUGCAAAGUGUUGUGUCCAGUCACAUACUGUCUCAUAUUCAUAGAGAUGAGCAAAAGGGAUCUGAAGCAUGGCCCUUUUCUAAGCACAGAAAUAACUCCUUGCAGCUGUCCCUCAAGAGCAAGAUACAUCAGUGUGAAGCACCACUAUGUGCUGUGUAGGUGACUUGCACAGAGCAGGAAGCUGCAAAUUACCCUAGCAGCAGCAACACAAACUCUGCCUUCUGUAGCUGUGGGAGUCAGAAGACAUAAGAAUUCCCAGUGAGUUCACCAUGCAGCCCUGGGCCUGUGACCAUCUGCUCAUAAUGAGGUCCAACCCUCCACAACUACCCAAAUUUGCCUGGAGUCAUCAAAAUGUCAGCUUCCAAGCCCAGCAGCCUUCUUCUCUGUCCUGUGGUCCAAUGCAAGAUGCCCCUGCUGCUUUUUCACACAGAAAAGGUGUACAUGGUCCUCAAGAUGAUGUUUUGGCACAAAUGGUAGACCCAGGGACUUGCUUGGUGGAUAGCGGAUGCCUCUGCGACUGAACAAAGUUCACAGCUCACUGGAAGCAUCACAGCUUUGUAGCAGGCAGAUUUUAGAGGUCCAAGCUUCCAGGCUGAGUGGCAUUUUGUCAUCUUCAUGAUCCCUGCCAGCAAGAGAUGUGCUCUCAUUUCAUAUGCACAGUGACCGACUUGGAUGUCCCUCCUUCAGCCUCCCCAAGGUUUCAGAGGUGGGAAGAUGUUUUGUGUAUGCUGUGGCAUGUCUCUGUACUCUUUGUGAGUACGUUGGUAUGUCUCCUGCUCCCCAGAAAGGUGGCGUAUGAGUUCUUGGUCUGUGACACUGAUCUACU
Pogoniulus pusillus (Red-fronted tinkerbird) is the source of this 1729-nucleotide long non-coding RNA. RefSeq lists it as uncharacterized. Lineage: Eukaryota; Metazoa; Chordata; Aves; Piciformes; Lybiidae. The transcript has 3 exons. The record is from RefSeq and is a predicted model, not a curated record.